RNAcentral lists this ribosomal RNA (202 nucleotides) under uncultured eukaryote. RNAcentral's name for it is "partial 18S ribosomal RNA". It matches the Rfam family "Eukaryotic small subunit ribosomal RNA", at positions 1299 to 1458 of the family's 1831-position model. The record is from RNAcentral.
UGGUGGGGUGACUUGUCUGGUUAAUUCCGAUAACGAACGAGAUCUUGGCCUGCUAAAUAGACGAGCUUCCGCUGGCACUCGGUUUCGGCUGGGUGUCGGGAGGCUGAUGAUGCAAACGCAUACGUGGCUGGCUUCGCGCUGGUUACGUCGCUUCUUAGAGGGACUGUGGGUGAUUAACCCAAGGAAGCUCAAGGCAAUAACA